RNAcentral lists this ribosomal RNA (835 nucleotides) under uncultured bacterium. RNAcentral describes it as "bacterial SSU rRNA". It matches the Rfam family "Bacterial small subunit ribosomal RNA", at positions 60 to 862 of the family's 1533-position model. The record is from RNAcentral.
AGUCGAGCGAGCGGAACUAAAGAUUUACUUCGGUAAUGACGUUAGGAAAGCGAGCGGCGGAUGGGUGAGUAACACGUGGGGAACCUGCCCCAUAGUCUGGGAUACCACUUGGAAACAGGUGCUAAUACCGGAUAAGAAAGCAGAUCGCAUGAUCAGCUUUUAAAAGGCGGCGUAAGCUGUCGCUAUGGGAUGGCCCCGCGGUGCAUUAGCUAGUUGGUAAGGUAAAGGCUUACCAAGGCGAUGGUGCAUAGCCGAGUUGAGAGACUGAUCGGCCACAUUGGGACUGAGACACGGCCCAAACUCCUACGGGAGGCAGCAGUAGGGAAUCUUCCACAAUGGACGCAAGUCUGAUAGAGCAACGCCGCGUGAGUGAAGAAGGUUUUCGGAUCGUAAAGCUCUGUUGUUGGUGAAGAAGGAUAGAGGUAGUAACUGGCCUUUAUUUGACGGUAAUCAACCAGAAAGUCACGGCUAACUACGUGCCAGCAGCCGCGGUAAUACGUAGGUGGCAAGCGUUGUCCGGAUUUAUUGGGCGUAAAGCGAGCGCAGGCGGAAGAAUAAGUCUGAUGUGAAAGCCCUCGGCCUAACCGAGGAACUGCAUCGGAAACUGUUUUUCUUGAGUGCAGAAGAGGAGAGUGGAACUCCAUGUGUAGCGGUGGAAUGCGUAGAUAUAUGGAAGAACACCAGUGGCGAAGGCGGCUCUCUGGUCUGCAACUGACGCUGAGGCUCGAAAGCAUGGGUAGUGAACAGGAUUAGAUACCCUGGUAGUCCAUGCCGUAGACGAUGAGUGCUAAGUGUUGGGAGGUUUCCGCCUCUCAGUGCUGCAGCUAACGCAUUA